Molecule: long non-coding RNA, 311 nt
Filed under: Capsella rubella
Lineage: Eukaryota; Viridiplantae; Streptophyta; Magnoliopsida; Brassicales; Brassicaceae
Description: long non-coding RNA (CRUB_LNC001643)
Source: RNAcentral
GGAUUUCUGAAGUGCAAUUCUCUGCAAAUUCAUAAGAAUUUUUGAACGACGCCCCUCAGAGUCGAGGGAAUCACAAAUUAAUAUUUUGGGUUACUUGAUAACGCAAACCAUUUGAGAAACGUGAUGUAGCUUUUCUUAGUUCACACUUGGUGAAUGUGUUUUCUCUUUCUGAGUGGUCGAAAUUUUCUACAUAUCUCAAAAAAAAAAAAAUCGUUAGAGAAGGAUUUUCAUCUUUCUUUUUUUAUCUUAUCUCAUGUGGCAUGUCUUCUCCAACCCUGUAGUCAUCAUAUUCUACUUAUUCUCCAAAAAAU